GGGCGGCUCAGGCAGCGGCGAGUGCUCCGGCCUGCUCGGCCGCCAGCUGGGCAGCGGUCUUGCCGAUGAUCGACUCGUCGUCCGCUUGC
RNAcentral lists this transfer RNA (89 nucleotides) under Candidatus Accumulibacter sp. SK-11. RNAcentral describes it as "tRNA-Ser". The record is from RNAcentral. Lineage: Bacteria; Pseudomonadati; Pseudomonadota; Betaproteobacteria.